This 302-nucleotide ribosomal RNA is filed under the name uncultured bacterium. Its description in RNAcentral is "partial 16S ribosomal RNA". It matches the Rfam family "Bacterial small subunit ribosomal RNA", at positions 508 to 807 of the family's 1533-position model. The record is from RNAcentral.
GCAGUAGCCGCGGGAAUACGAAGGGUGCAAGCGUUAAUCGGAAUUACUGGGCGUAAAGCGCGCGUAGGUGGUUUGGUAAGAUGGAUGUGAAAUCCCCGGGCUCAACCUGGGAACUGCAUCCAUAACUGCCUGACUAGAGUACGGUAGAGGGUGGUGGAAUUUCCUGUGUAGCGGUGAAAUGCGUAGAUAUAGGAAGGAACACCAGUGGCGAAGGCGACCACCUGGACUGAUACUGACACUGAGGUGCGAAAGCGUGGGGAGCAAACAGGAUUAGAUACCCCAGUAGUCCCUGUCUCUUAUAC